RNAcentral lists this ribosomal RNA (216 nucleotides) under Glomeromycotina sp. Its description in RNAcentral is "partial small subunit ribosomal RNA". The stretch from base 40 to 216 matches the Rfam family "Eukaryotic small subunit ribosomal RNA", at positions 686 to 864 of the family's 1831-position model. Lineage: Eukaryota; Fungi; Glomeromycota. The record is from RNAcentral.
GGGUCAGUAGGCUGGUCGUGCCACCGGUACGUACUGGUCUCACUGAUUCCUCCUUCCUGACGAACCGUAAUGCCAUUAAUUUGGUGUUGCGGGGAAACAGGACUGUUACUUUUAAAAAAUUACAGUGUUUAAAGCAAGCUAACGCUUGAAUACAUUAGCAUGGAAUAAUGAAAUAGGACGAUCGAUCCUAUUUUGUUGGUUUCUAGGAUUGACGUA